UACGGGAGGCAGCAGGGGGAAUAUUGCACAAUGGGCGCAAGCCUGAUGCAGCCAUGCCGCGUGUAUGAAGAAGGCCUUCGGGUUGUAAAGUACUUUCAGUCGUGAGGAAGGUGUUAAGGUUAAUAACCUUAGCAAUUGACGUUAGCGACAGAAGAAGCACCGGCUAACUCCGUGCCAGCAGCCGCGGUAAUACGGAGGGUGCGAGCGUUAAUCGGAAUUACUGGGCGUAAAGGGCACGCAGGCGGUUAAUUAAGUUGGAUGUGAAAUCCCCGGGCUUAACCUGGGAAUGGCAUUCAAGACUGGUUAGCUAGAGUCUUGUAGAGGGGGUAGAAUUCCAUGUGUAGCGGUGAAAUGCGUAGAGAUGUGGAGGAAUACCGGUGGCGAAGGCGGCCCCUGGACAAAGACUGACGCUCAUGUGCGAAAGCGUGGGGAGCAAACAGGGAUUAGAUACCCGU
This 455-nucleotide ribosomal RNA is filed under the name uncultured bacterium. RNAcentral describes it as "bacterial SSU rRNA". It matches the Rfam family "Bacterial small subunit ribosomal RNA", at positions 340 to 789 of the family's 1533-position model. The record is from RNAcentral.